AACUACACAUAAGAGGUCCUGCCUGCCCUGUGACCCCUGGUUCAACGGCCGCGGUAUUUUGACCGUGCAAAGGUAGCGCAAUCACUUGUCUCUUAAAUGAGGACCUGUAUGAAUGGCACAACGAGGGCUUAACUGUCUCCUUUUCCCGGUCAGUGAAAUUGAUCUUCCCGUGCAGAAGCGGGAAUCCUAACAUAAGACGAGAAGACCCUAUGGAGCUUUAGACUUUCGAACAGAUCAUGUAAGCUACCCCCAUGAAAUGGGUAAUAACUAUUGAAUUCCUGUUCUCCUGUCUUUGGUUGGGGCGACCACGGGGAAGAAAAAAACCCCCAUGUGGACCAGGAGCACAUUACUCCUACAACCAUGAGCCACAGCUCUAAUGCACAAAACCUUUGACCAUUAGAUCCGGCAAAGCCGAUCAACGGACCAAGUUACCCUAGGGAUAACAGCGCAAUCCCCUUUAAGAGUCCAUAUCGACAAGGGGGUUUACGACCUCGAUGUUGGAUCAAGACAUCCUAAUGGUGCAGCCGCUAUUAAGGGUUCGUUUGUUCAACGAUUAAAGUCUU
Molecule: ribosomal RNA, 563 nt
Filed under: Chelon labrosus (thicklip grey mullet)
Lineage: Eukaryota; Metazoa; Chordata; Actinopteri; Mugiliformes; Mugilidae
Description: partial 16S ribosomal RNA
Rfam family: Bacterial large subunit ribosomal RNA
Source: RNAcentral